This 238-nucleotide ribosomal RNA is filed under the name Indianthus virgatus. Its description in RNAcentral is "partial 26S ribosomal RNA". It matches the Rfam family "Eukaryotic large subunit ribosomal RNA", at positions 1 to 237 of the family's 3401-position model. Lineage: Eukaryota; Viridiplantae; Streptophyta; Magnoliopsida; Zingiberales; Marantaceae. The record is from RNAcentral.
GCGACCCCAGGUCAGGCGGGGCCACCCGCCGAGUUUAAGCAUAUAAAUAAGCGGAGGAGAAGAAACUUACGAGGAUUCCCAUAGUAACGGCGAGCGAACCGGGAUCAGCCCAGCUUGAGAAUCGGGCGGCCGAGCCGUCUGAAUUGUAGUCUGGAGAAGCGUCCUCAGCGACGGACCGGGCCCAAGUCCCCUGGAAAGGGGCGCCGGGGAGGGUGAGAGUCCCGUCCGGCCCGGACCC